Molecule: ribosomal RNA, 1554 nt
Filed under: Salmonella enterica
Lineage: Bacteria; Pseudomonadati; Pseudomonadota; Gammaproteobacteria; Enterobacterales; Enterobacteriaceae
Description: bacterial SSU rRNA
Rfam family: Bacterial small subunit ribosomal RNA
Source: RNAcentral
AAAUUGAAGAGUUUGAUCAUGGCUCAGAUUGAACGCUGGCGGCAGGCCUAACACAUGCAAGUCGAACGGUAACAGGAAGCAGCUUGCUGCUUUGCUGACGAGUGGCGGACGGGUGAGUAAUGUCUGGGAAACUGCCUGAUGGAGGGGGAUAACUACUGGAAACGGUGGCUAAUACCGCAUAACGUCGCAAGACCAAAGAGGGGGACCUUCGGGCCUCUUGCCAUCAGAUGUGCCCAGAUGGGAUUAGCUUGUUGGUGAGGUAACGGCUCACCAAGGCGACGAUCCCUAGCUGGUCUGAGAGGAUGACCAGCCACACUGGAACUGAGACACGGUCCAGACUCCUACGGGAGGCAGCAGUGGGGAAUAUUGCACAAUGGGCGCAAGCCUGAUGCAGCCAUGCCGCGUGUAUGAAGAAGGCCUUCGGGUUGUAAAGUACUUUCAGCGGGGAGGAAGGUGUUGUGGUUAAUAACCGCAGCAAUUGACGUUACCCGCAGAAGAAGCACCGGCUAACUCCGUGCCAGCAGCCGCGGUAAUACGGAGGGUGCAAGCGUUAAUCGGAAUUACUGGGCGUAAAGCGCACGCAGGCGGUCUGUCAAGUCGGAUGUGAAAUCCCCGGGCUCAACCUGGGAACUGCAUUCGAAACUGGCAGGCUUGAGUCUUGUAGAGGGGGGUAGAAUUCCAGGUGUAGCGGUGAAAUGCGUAGAGAUCUGGAGGAAUACCGGUGGCGAAGGCGGCCCCCUGGACAAAGACUGACGCUCAGGUGCGAAAGCGUGGGGAGCAAACAGGAUUAGAUACCCUGGUAGUCCACGCCGUAAACGAUGUCUACUUGGAGGUUGUGCCCUUGAGGCGUGGCUUCCGGAGCUAACGCGUUAAGUAGACCGCCUGGGGAGUACGGCCGCAAGGUUAAAACUCAAAUGAAUUGACGGGGGCCCGCACAAGCGGUGGAGCAUGUGGUUUAAUUCGAUGCAACGCGAAGAACCUUACCUGGUCUUGACAUCCACGGAAGAAUUCAGAGAUGGAUUGGUGCCUUCGGGAACCGUGAGACAGGUGCUGCAUGGCUGUCGUCAGCUCGUGUUGUGAAAUGUUGGGUUAAGUCCCGCAACGAGCGCAACCCUUAUCCUUUGUUGCCAGCGGUCCGGCCGGGAACUCAAAGGAGACUGCCAGUGAUAAACUGGAGGAAGGUGGGGAUGACGUCAAGUCAUCAUGGCCCUUACGACCAGGGCUACACACGUGCUACAAUGGCGCAUACAAAGAGAAGCGACCUCGCGAGAGCAAGCGGACCUCAUAAAGUGCGUCGUAGUCCGGAUUGGAGUCUGCAACUCGACUCCAUGAAGUCGGAAUCGCUAGUAAUCGUGGAUCAGAAUGCCACGGUGAAUACGUUCCCGGGCCUUGUACACACCGCCCGUCACACCAUGGGAGUGGGUUGCAAAAGAAGUAGGUAGCUUAACCUUCGGGAGGGCGCUUACCACUUUGUGAUUCAUGACUGGGGUGAAGUCGUAACAAGGUAACCGUAGGGGAACCUGCGGUUGGAUCACCUCCUUACCUGAAAGAAGC